GGAGGAAAAGGAGGGGAGGGAAGCAGAGGAGGGCGUUGGUGGAGCAGCAACAUCCUUUUCCUCUGUCCCACUCAGAGGCACCACCUCCCUCCUUCCCUCCUCUUCUUUCUCCUUCUCCUCCUCCUCCU
Molecule: microRNA precursor, 128 nt
Filed under: Xyrichtys novacula (pearly razorfish)
Lineage: Eukaryota; Metazoa; Chordata; Actinopteri; Labriformes; Labridae
Source: RNAcentral